RNAcentral lists this ribosomal RNA (503 nucleotides) under uncultured bacterium. RNAcentral describes it as "bacterial SSU rRNA". It matches the Rfam family "Bacterial small subunit ribosomal RNA", at positions 29 to 528 of the family's 1533-position model. The record is from RNAcentral.
AAUGAACGUUGGCGGCGUGGAUUAGGCAUGCAAGUCGUACGCACAGCUUCGGCUGUGAGUGGCGCAAGGGUGAGUAAUGCGAAGGUAACCAACCCUGGUGUUGGGCAUAACCGCGGGAAACUGCGGGUAAUUCCCAGCGACGUCGCGAGAUGGCAUCAUCUUGCGACCAAAGGUGUGAUUCCGCUCUAGGACGGGCCUUCGUGGUAUUAGGUAGUUGGUGAGGUAACGGCUCACCAAGCCGACGAUGCCUACCGGGUGUGAGAGCAUGACCCGGCACACUGGAACUGAGACACUGUCCAGACACCUACGGGUGGCUGCAGUCGAGAAUCUUCGGCAAUGGGCGAAAGCCUGACCGAGCGACGCCGCGUGCGGGAUGAAGGCCCUUGGGUUGUAAACCGCUUUAGUCCGGGAAAAAGGGGUGCGAGGAUAAUACCCUCGUGCUUUGAUGGUACUGGAAGAAUAAGCACCGGCUAACUACGUGCCAGCAGCCGCGGUAAGCUCGU